UACGUAGGGGGCUAGCGUUGUCCGGAAUCAUUGGGCGUAAAGCGCGUGUAGGCGGUCCGGUAAGUCCGCUGUGAAAGUCGAGGGCUCAACCCUCGAAUGCCGGUGGAUACUGUCGGGCUUGAGUACGGGAGAGGCGAGUGGAAUUCCUGGUGUAGCGGUGGAAUGCGCAGAUAUCAGGAGGAACACCGGUGGCGAAGGCGGGUCUCUGGGCAGUGACUGACGCUGAGGAGCGAAAGCGUGGGGAGCGAACAGG
This 253-nucleotide ribosomal RNA is filed under the name uncultured bacterium. Its description in RNAcentral is "partial 16S ribosomal RNA". It matches the Rfam family "Bacterial small subunit ribosomal RNA", at positions 524 to 776 of the family's 1533-position model. The record is from RNAcentral.